CCCUUAGACGUUCUGGGCCGCACGCGCGCUACACUGACCAGUGCAACAAGCAUCCGUCCUUGGCCGACAGGCCCGGGCAAUCUUUGAACGCUGGUCGUGAUGGGGAUAGACUUUUGCAAUUUUUGGUCUUCAACGAGGGAUUCCUAGUAAACGCAAGUCAUCAACUUGCAUUGAUUACGUCCCUGCCCUUUGUACACACCGCCCGUCGCACCUACCGAUUGAAUGGUCCGGUGAAGCCUCCGGAUUGGCGUGCACCCUCGGGUGCUGCCGAGAAGUUGGCUAAACCUUACCAUUUAGAGGAAGGUGAAGUCGUAACA
This 317-nucleotide ribosomal RNA is filed under the name uncultured eukaryote. Its description in RNAcentral is "partial 18S ribosomal RNA". It matches the Rfam family "Eukaryotic small subunit ribosomal RNA", at positions 1470 to 1796 of the family's 1831-position model. The record is from RNAcentral.